GGCCAGCGACGGGCGGCCGUUGACCGCCCGCUGCAGGUGGGUGAGGGCCACGCCCGGGUCCUUCUCCUGCAGUUCCGUCAGCAGCCGGUCGC
Molecule: transfer RNA, 92 nt
Filed under: Streptomyces echinoruber
Lineage: Bacteria; Bacillati; Actinomycetota; Actinomycetes; Kitasatosporales; Streptomycetaceae
Description: tRNA-Cys
Source: RNAcentral